UAGGGAAUCUUCCCCAAUGGGCGAAAGCCUGAUGGAGCAACGCCGCGUGUGUGAUGAAGGCUUUAGGGUCGUAAGCACUGUUGUAUGGGAAGAAAUGCUAGAAUAGGGAAUGAUUCUAGUUCGACGGUACCAUACCAGAAAGGGACGGCUAAAUACGUGCCAG
RNAcentral lists this ribosomal RNA (163 nucleotides) under uncultured bacterium. RNAcentral describes it as "partial 16S rRNA". It matches the Rfam family "Bacterial small subunit ribosomal RNA", at positions 355 to 511 of the family's 1533-position model. The record is from RNAcentral.